RNAcentral lists this non-coding RNA (150 nucleotides) under Perkinsus marinus ATCC 50983. Its description in RNAcentral is "Eukaryotic large subunit ribosomal RNA". It matches the Rfam family "Eukaryotic large subunit ribosomal RNA", at positions 3249 to 3401 of the family's 3401-position model. Lineage: Eukaryota; Perkinsozoa; Perkinsida; Perkinsidae. The record is from Rfam by way of RNAcentral.
ACUGUGUCAGAGUGUAUGUGAUCAUAGCAAUUGCAGUAUUGGGCUCGAUAAAUCCUUUGAAGACGACUUAAUUGCAUCCGGGUAUGUAAGUGUGAGAGUAGGCUUAGUCUUACGAUCCACUGAGAUUCAUCCCGUGUUGCGCCGAUUUGU